UAUUAUUUAAAAUGUAAAUUAAAAUAUUUAAGUAGUAAUAGUUAUGUUCUUGAAACUUAAAAAAUUUGGCGGUAUUUUAGUCUAUCCAGAGGAACCUGUUUUGUAAUCGAUAACCCACGAUGGACCUUACUUAAGUUUGUAAUCAGUUUAUAUACCGUCGUUAUCAGAAUAUUUUAUAAGAAUAUUAAUAUUCAAUAAUUUUAAUCAAAAUUUAUAUCAGAUCAAGGUGUAGCUUAUAUUUAAGUAAUAAUGGGUUACAAUGAAUAUAUUUAAACGGAUAAAAUUAUGAAAAAAUUUUUGAAGGUGGAUUUGGUAGUAAAAUUAUAAAGAUUAAUAAUUUGAUUUUAGCUCUAAAAUAUGUACACAUCGCCCGUCGCUCUUAUUAUUAAGGUAAGAUAAGUCGUAACAUAGUAGAUGUACUGGAAAGUGUAUCUAGAAUGA
Molecule: ribosomal RNA, 441 nt
Filed under: Drosophila melanica
Lineage: Eukaryota; Metazoa; Arthropoda; Insecta; Diptera; Drosophilidae
Description: partial 12S ribosomal RNA
Source: RNAcentral